This 1014-nucleotide long non-coding RNA is filed under the name Androctonus crassicauda. Lineage: Eukaryota; Metazoa; Arthropoda; Arachnida; Scorpiones; Buthidae. The record is from RNAcentral.
UGCGUUCCGUCAGACGAUUAAAUCGGCAGCUGGCACUUGUAGGGUUAAUAAAAAUUUACAGUUAGCUUAUGGAUAUAUUCAUAAUUGGCUCAAUUAGAAGUUACUUAUUUCAGAGGUUUGAAUGAAGAGUUCUGGUUAUGAGGCAAUGAUUUUUUUAUGAAAUUUCUGUUAUCUUGAAUUAAUACCAUAAUAUGUAAUAUUAAGUAACUGUGUGUGUAAUAAAGCAAUUGCUUAUAUCUUGGAAGAUUUGAGUUCAGUUCCAGAUAAUUUUACAUUUUUGGUCUAGGUUCAGUUUCAAAUGAUUUUACUAUCUUGAAGAAUUGAGUUUUCUCUUGUUUGCUAUCAUUACUAAAAUUAAUACCUUUGUCAGUUAUUUUUGACCUAUCAAAACAUAACCCAUCAUAACCAGAGGAGCACCUGUACUGGGAAUUGAACUAUUUUAUAACAUUCUGCUAACACACUAACCAUAAUGUAAAUUUAUGAAACAUUUUUUAGUGGAUCAUUCCAAGAAUUUUUUACGUAUUAUAAAAUAUAAUUUUAUAAUAUAUAAAAAAACAAUUGUUUUUCUCUGCCACACAUUACAUGAAGAACGUGCCUUGCAGUACAUCUUAUGCCCUCGGUCUUCUUCAUUGUUUGUUGCCAGAAGCAAUAGUUCUGUGGGACAUGCAAAAAAUGGCAUUAUUUAUGGGAUGACUUGAUGUUAAAAACAAUAUGGAUAGAAAAGAAGAAUAUGUAAAUAUCACUAUAAGUUUAAAAUGAAAAAUUAGUGAACAUAAGCAUGAUAAUUAUGUUAUGCUUAUCGUUCCUUUCAUUAGAAAGAGAACUUGAAUCUGACAUUAAUUAGAAAAGCUUCUAUGAAACAACAGUAGAUAUAAAGUACAAUGAAGCAAAAGUUAGGGAGAAUUACCUUUUCUUAUAACUUUAAGUUUUCUAUCAAAAAUCUUCCAAAUGACCUAAAUCUUUUAACAUAUAAAUUCUAAGAAUAGAAUGUAUUUAAUUUGUGUUGAUGACGAC